This 301-nucleotide ribosomal RNA is filed under the name uncultured bacterium. RNAcentral describes it as "partial 16S ribosomal RNA". It matches the Rfam family "Bacterial small subunit ribosomal RNA", at positions 509 to 807 of the family's 1533-position model. The record is from RNAcentral.
CAGCCGCCGCGGUAAUACGAAGGGGGCUAGCGUUGCUCGGAAUGACUGGGCGUAAAGGGCGCGUAGGCGGUUCACGCAGUCAGAUGUGAAAUUCCUGGGCUUAACCUGGGGGCUGCAUUUGAGACGCGUGGGCUUGAGUGUGAAAGAGGGUCGUGGAAUUCCCAGUGUAGAGGUGAAAUUCGUAGAUAUUGGGAAGAACACCGGUGGCGAAGGCGGCGACCUGGUUCACAACUGACGCUGAGGCGCGAAAGCGUGGGGAGCAAACAGGAUUAGAGACCCGCGUAGUCCCUGUCUCUUAUAC